This 279-nucleotide ribosomal RNA is filed under the name uncultured bacterium. Its description in RNAcentral is "partial 16S ribosomal RNA". It matches the Rfam family "Bacterial small subunit ribosomal RNA", at positions 506 to 784 of the family's 1533-position model. The record is from RNAcentral.
UGCCAGCCGCCGCGGUAAUACUGAAGGUGCAAGCGUUAAUCGGAAUCACUGGGCGUAAAGCGCUCGUAGGUGGCGCAGCAAGUCAGACGUGAAAGCCCUCGGCUCAACCGAGGAAUUGCGUUUGAAACUGCUGUGCUUGAGUCUCGGAGAGGUUGGCGGAAUUCCAGGUGUAGGAGUGAAAUCCGUAGAUAUCUGGAGGAACACCGGUGGCGAGGGCGGCCAACUGGACGAGUACAGACGCUGAGGUACGAAAGCGUGGGGAGCAAACAGGAUUAGAUA